CGAGGCGAACCGGGGAAACUGAAACAUCUCAGUACCCCGAGGAAAAGAAAUCAACCGAGAUUCCCCCAGUAGCGGCGAGCGAACAGGGAGCAGCCCAGAGUCAACAUCAAUAUUUACCGCAGGAGAAGGGUCUGGAAAGGCCGGCAAUAAAGGGUGAUAGCCCCGUAUCUGAAGCGGUAAGUAUUGUGAACUCGAAGAGUAAGGCGGGACACGUGUUAUCCUGUCUGAAUAUGGGGGGACCAUCCUCCAAGGCUAAAUACUCCUGACUGACCGAUAGUGAACCAGUACCGUAAGGGAAAGGCGAAAAGAACCCCGGCGAGGGGAGUGAAAUAGAACCUGAAACCGUGUACGUACAAGCAGUAGGAGCACCCGAAAAGGUGUGACUGCGUACCUUUUGUAUAAUGGGUCAGCGACUUAUAUUCUGUAGCAAGGUUAACCGCAUAGGGGAGCCGUAGGGAAACCGAGUCUUAACUGGGCGUUAAGUUGCAGGGUAUAGACCCGAAACCCGGUGAUCUAGCCAUGGGCAGGUUGAAG
Molecule: ribosomal RNA, 534 nt
Filed under: Candidatus Arsenophonus arthropodicus
Lineage: Bacteria; Pseudomonadati; Pseudomonadota; Gammaproteobacteria; Enterobacterales; Morganellaceae
Description: bacterial LSU rRNA
Rfam family: Bacterial large subunit ribosomal RNA
Source: RNAcentral